This 304-nucleotide ribosomal RNA is filed under the name uncultured bacterium. Its description in RNAcentral is "partial 16S ribosomal RNA". It matches the Rfam family "Bacterial small subunit ribosomal RNA", at positions 506 to 807 of the family's 1533-position model. The record is from RNAcentral.
CAGCAGUAGCCGCGGUAAUACAGAGGGUGCGAGCGUUAAUCGGAUUUACUGGGCGUAAAGCGUGCGUAGGCGGCUUCUUAAGUCGGAUGUGAAAUCCCUGAGCUUAACUUAGGAAUUGCAUUCGAUACUGGGAAGCUAGAGUAUGGGAGAGGAUGGUAGAAUUCCAGGUGUAGCGGUGAAAUGCGUAGAGAUCUGGAGGAAUACCGAUGGCGAAGGCAGCCAUCUGGCCUAAUACUGACGCUGAGGUACGAAAGCAUGGGGAGCAAACAGGAUUAGAUACCCCUGUAGUCCCUGUUUCUUAUAC